AACAUGCAAGCUCUCUGAAGCUUGUUUUCUAUGGCCAUACAAUAAGUAUGCAGUCUGCACUUUAUGAGGAAAUUCCAUCAGUGCUCCUUCAGAGUUUGCAGCCGCACACAAUAUUGUGCGAUCUGCGUUGUGACCCUUUUUCCUUGUUAUGGUCCUUGUCCAAUUUCACUCCUUUUGAAUUGAUUUUCACUUUUUGGUUCGUUUCCCAAUAUACCUUACAGCAGUUUUUAGCUAAAACACAAGUAAAAGAGCAAACAAACAGUCAAAGUCCAUAUUUAUUAGUCUGUUUGUUAGAUUCCAU
Molecule: long non-coding RNA, 301 nt
Filed under: Nicotiana benthamiana
Lineage: Eukaryota; Viridiplantae; Streptophyta; Magnoliopsida; Solanales; Solanaceae
Description: long non-coding RNA (NBEN_LNC016295)
Source: RNAcentral